GGGCCAGUGGGGCAAGGAUAACGCGCCUGACAGGGGAUCGGGAGAUUCCAGGUUCGAAUCCUGGCUGGCUCC
This 72-nucleotide transfer RNA is filed under the name Trichonephila inaurata madagascariensis. It matches the Rfam family "tRNA". From Rfam's summary of the family: Transfer RNA (tRNA) molecules are approximately 80 nucleotides in length. Their secondary structure includes four short double-helical elements and three loops (D, anti-codon, and T loops). The record is from Rfam by way of RNAcentral. Lineage: Eukaryota; Metazoa; Arthropoda; Arachnida; Araneae; Nephilidae.